AAUCAACGCUGGCGGCGUGCCUCAGACAUGCAAGUCGAACGAUUAAACUUCCCUUCGGGGAAGAUAUACAGUGGCGCACGGGUGAGUAACACGUCGGUAAUGUACCUUUGGGUGGGGAAUAACUUAGGGAAACUUAAGCUAAUACCGCAUAAUGCAGCGGCUCCUUCGGGAGACAGUUGUUAAAGAUUUAUCGCCUAAAGAGCAGCCUGCGGCAGAUUAGCUAGUUGGUAAGGUAACGGCUUACCAAGGCUACGAUCUGUAUCCGACCUGAGAGGGUGGUCGGACACACUGACACUGAAUAACGGGUCAGACUCCUACGGGAGGCAGCAGUCGGGAAUUUUGGGCAAUGGGCGAAAGCCUGACCCAGCAACGCCGCGUGAAGGAUGAAGUCUUUCGCGAUGUAAACUUCGUAAGAAUAGGAAGAAUAAAUGACGGUACUAUUUGUAAGGUCCGGCUAACUACGUG
This 465-nucleotide ribosomal RNA is filed under the name uncultured bacterium. RNAcentral's name for it is "partial 16S ribosomal RNA". It matches the Rfam family "Bacterial small subunit ribosomal RNA", at positions 32 to 507 of the family's 1533-position model. The record is from RNAcentral.